AUUGAACGCUGGCGGCAGGCCUAACACAUGCAAGUCGAGCGGAGCGGCGGACGGGUGAGUAAUGCCUAGGAAUCUGCCUGGUAGUGGGGGAUAACGUCCGGAAACGGGCGCUAAUACCGCAUACUAUCAGAUGAGCCUAGGUCGGAUUAGCUAGUUGGUUGUGUAAAUGCCUACCAAGGCGACGAUCCGUAACUGGUCUGAGAGGAGGAUCAUUCAAACUGGAACGGAGACACGGGCAAGAAUCCUACGGGAGGCAGCAGUGGGGAAUCUUGGACAAUGGGCGAAAGCCUGAGCCAGCGAUGCCGCGUGUGUGAAGAAGGUCUUCGGAUUGUAAAGCACGUUAAGUUGGGAGGCGUUACCAACAGAGUAAGCACCGGAUAACUUCGUGCCAGCAGCCGCGGUAAUAC
This 407-nucleotide ribosomal RNA is filed under the name uncultured bacterium. Its description in RNAcentral is "partial 16S ribosomal RNA". It matches the Rfam family "Bacterial small subunit ribosomal RNA", at positions 30 to 526 of the family's 1533-position model. The record is from RNAcentral.